GCGCCCAUAGCUCAGUGGAUAGAGCGCCGGACUACGAAUCCGUAGGCCGCCAGUUCGAAUCUGGCUGGGCGCACCA
This 76-nucleotide transfer RNA is filed under the name Deltaproteobacteria bacterium. RNAcentral describes it as "tRNA-Arg". It matches the Rfam family "tRNA". From Rfam's summary of the family: Transfer RNA (tRNA) molecules are approximately 80 nucleotides in length. Their secondary structure includes four short double-helical elements and three loops (D, anti-codon, and T loops). RNAcentral also lists the same sequence under 1 other name. Lineage: Bacteria; Pseudomonadati; Myxococcota; Myxococcia. The record is from RNAcentral.